GCCCAGACUCCUACGGGAGGCAGCAGUGGGGAAUAUUGCACAAUGGGGGGAACCCUGAUGCAGCGACGCCGCGUGGGUGAAGGAGCACCUCGGUGCGUAAAGCCCUAUCGGCAGGGAAGAAACAGACGGUACCUGACUAAGAAGCCCCGGCUAACUACGUGCCAGCAGCCGCGGUAAUACGUAGGGGGCAAGCGUUAUCCGGAUUUACUGGGUGUAAAGGGGGCGCAGACGGCAGCGCAAGCCAGGAGUGAAAGCCCGGGGCCCAACCCCGGGACUGCUCUGGAAACUGUGUAACUAGAGUGCAGGAGGGGUAAGCGGAAUUCCUAGUGUAGCGGUGAAAUGCGUAGAUAUAAGGAAGAACACCAGUGGCGAAGGCGGAUUACUGGACGAUAACUGACGGUGAGGCGCGAAAGCGUGGGGAGCAAACAGGAUUAGAUACCCGAGUA
RNAcentral lists this ribosomal RNA (446 nucleotides) under uncultured bacterium. Its description in RNAcentral is "partial 16S ribosomal RNA". It matches the Rfam family "Bacterial small subunit ribosomal RNA", at positions 329 to 792 of the family's 1533-position model. The record is from RNAcentral.